AACGAACGCUGGCGGCGCGCCUAAUACAUGCAAGUCGAGCGAGAAGACGUAGCAAUACGUUUGUAAAGCGGCGAACGGGUGAGGAAUGCAUGGGUAACCUACCCUCGAGUGGGGAAUAACUAGCCGAAAGGUUAGCUAAUACCGCGUACGCUCCUUGGACUUCGGUUCAGGGAGGAAAGCGAUACCGUGGGUAUCGCGCUCUUGGAUGGGCUCAUGUCCUAUCAGCUUGUUGGGAGGUAACGGCUCACCAAGGCUUCGACGGGUAGCUGGUCUGAGAGGACGAUCAGCCACACUGGCACUGCGACACGGGCCAGACCUCCGUACGGGGAGGCAGCAAGUAAGGAAUAUUGCGCAAGUGGGACGAAAGCCUGACGCAGCGACGCCGCGGUGGGGGAG
This 396-nucleotide ribosomal RNA is filed under the name uncultured bacterium. Its description in RNAcentral is "bacterial SSU rRNA". It matches the Rfam family "Bacterial small subunit ribosomal RNA", at positions 29 to 410 of the family's 1533-position model. The record is from RNAcentral.